CCUACGGGUGGCAGCAGUGGGGAAUUUUGGACAAUGGGGGCAACCCUGAUCCAGCCAUGCCGCGUGCGGGAAGAAGGCCUUCGGGUUGUAAACCGCUUUUAGCCGGGAAGAAAAGGCAAGGGAUAACACCCCUUGUUCUUGACGGUACCGGCGGAAUAAGCACCGGCUAACUACGUGCCAGCAGCCGCGGUAAUACGUAGGGUACGAGCUGUAAUCGGAAUUACUGGAGGCGGAGCGUGCGCUGGGUUGUGAAAGCCCCGGGCUCAACCUGGGAAUGGCAAUGGAAACUGGCGGACUGGAGUGCGGCAGAGGGGGGUGGAAUUCCGCGUGUAGCAGUGAAAUGCGUAGAGAUGCGGAGGAACACCGAUGGCGAAGGCAGCCCCCUGGGCCGACACUGACGCUCAGGCACGAAAGCGUGGGGAGCAAACAGGAUUAGAUACCCUGGUAGUC
Molecule: ribosomal RNA, 450 nt
Filed under: uncultured bacterium
Lineage: Bacteria
Description: partial 16S ribosomal RNA
Rfam family: Bacterial small subunit ribosomal RNA
Source: RNAcentral